Molecule: long non-coding RNA, 900 nt
Organism: Dioscorea cayenensis subsp. rotundata (Guinea yam)
Lineage: Eukaryota; Viridiplantae; Streptophyta; Magnoliopsida; Dioscoreales; Dioscoreaceae
Exons: 5
Source: RefSeq, a predicted model, not a curated record
UUUGCACCUUCUCAUGGGAAAAAAAGGAAAAACACAUUCCAGAGUUUUGUCAUGAUUUUUUGUGAUGACUUAAUAUUAAAUCAUAAUUAUUAGGACUCUGCUGCUGCAAAUAAAAGAAAAGUGCUCUUAUGAUGAGGUGGAUCUGAAGCAGCCAGCAGCACUUGCUAUUCUGGCUUUUACCUCAAGUUGUUCAUGUAGCCGUUUCUGGACCUCAAUCUGUAUCUGAAGUGCUUCACUUAUCUGCAUGGAACUGAAAUGUUGAUCUUGGUUUGGCAUCUGUUGAUAGGAUUAAUCCUGAAUCACCCUGUACGUUUCCUCCUUGAAGCAAAAGAUGUCUCUCUGGAGGAAAGGCUGCCCUAGCAGGAAGGAUGCUGUUCUUACUUGGGAAGUUCCCAGGAAAAUAGAGAUGCAUGAUUGGUGUGGGCGCCAAUCAACCAUUCUUGGUUUGAAACUGUACUGUGUUGGUACAUCUUUUGAAAAGUUGGAAUGUGACCAGCAACAAUUAGAAUUUAUGCCUCUCGGAUAAAGAAGGUUUGAGACGGGAGGAAUUCAUCAACCCAUGCACAUGGAAUUCAGAAUAUCGAAUUUCGAAUCCAAGGUUUUUGUCUCCAUUGGAUACUGCAGUUUAAGAUCUAAAAAUGAGCAGUUCCUGCAAAAGUAUUCCUGAUGGUGGGGGACAGAUUCUCCCCAAGUUUUGUUUUUCAGUAAAAGAAAAAUGGUUUUGCUGGCAAAGUUUAGUUCCAUGGGACCUGACCUGCGAAACAAUUUGCUCAAAACUCUAUCUGGUGAGUUUCUGCAAUCCUUUCUCUUUUUAAAUAUCUAAAUAUUUAAAUAUUCUUAGACCUGUGAUUUAAUUGUGACAUAUUUACCAAGGUUUCUUUUGCAUAUAUACAUGUAUGA